UAAGCCGCGCCAGAUGCCACGCCACAGC
This 28-nucleotide non-coding RNA is filed under the name Mus musculus (house mouse). Lineage: Eukaryota; Metazoa; Chordata; Mammalia; Rodentia; Muridae. The record is from RNAcentral.